This 460-nucleotide ribosomal RNA is filed under the name uncultured bacterium. RNAcentral describes it as "partial 16S ribosomal RNA". It matches the Rfam family "Bacterial small subunit ribosomal RNA", at positions 338 to 795 of the family's 1533-position model. The record is from RNAcentral.
CCUACGGGAGGCAGCAGUGAGGAAUAUUGCUCAAUGGACGAGAGUCUGAACCAGCCAAGUAGCGUGAAGGAUGACUGUCCUAUGGGUUGUAAACUUCUUUUAUAAAGGAAUAAAACGAGGCACGUGUGCCUUUUUGCAUGUACUUUAUGAAUAAGGACAGGCUAACUCCGGGCCAGCAGCCGCGGUAAUACGGAGGAUCCGAGCGUUAUUCGGAUUUAUUGGGGUUAAAGGAAGCGUAGAUGGGUUGUUAAGUCAGUUGUGAAAGUUAGAGGCUCAACCGUAAAAAUGCAAUUGAUACUGGCAGACUAGAGUACAGUUGAGGUAAGUGGAAUUCGUGGUGUAGCGGUGAAAUGCGUAGAGAUCACGAAGAACCCCGGUUGCGAAGGCAACUUACUAAACUGUAACUGACAUUGAUGCUCGAAAGUAUGGGUAUCAAACAGGAUUAGAUACCCGAGUAGUC